RNAcentral lists this transfer RNA (75 nucleotides) under Candidatus Saccharimonadota bacterium. RNAcentral's name for it is "tRNA-Arg". It matches the Rfam family "tRNA". Rfam says of the family: Transfer RNA (tRNA) molecules are approximately 80 nucleotides in length. Their secondary structure includes four short double-helical elements and three loops (D, anti-codon, and T loops). Lineage: Bacteria; Candidatus Saccharimonadota. The record is from RNAcentral.
GCCCUGGUAGUUCAACGGAUAGAAUAAUACCGUCCUAAGGUGGAGAUGUUGGUUCGAUUCCAGCCCGGGGUACCA